Molecule: ribosomal RNA, 809 nt
Filed under: Chryseobacterium gallinarum
Lineage: Bacteria; Pseudomonadati; Bacteroidota; Flavobacteriia; Flavobacteriales; Weeksellaceae
Description: bacterial SSU rRNA
Rfam family: Bacterial small subunit ribosomal RNA
Source: RNAcentral
UCUGCAGGUCUUGAGUGUUGUUGAAGUAGCUGGAAUAAGUAGUGUAGCGUGAAAUGCAUAGAUAUUACUUAGAACACCAAUUGCGAAGGCAGGUUACUAAGCAACAACUGACGCUGAUGGACGAAAGCGUGGGGAGCGAACAGGAUUAGAUACCCUGGUAGUCCACGCCGUAAACGAUGCUAACUCGUUUUUGGAGCGCAAGCUUCAGAGACUAAGCGAAAGUGAUAAGUUAGCCACCUGGGGAGUACGAACGCAAGUUUGAAACUCAAAGGAAUUGACGGGGGCCCGCACAAGCGGUGGAUUAUGUGGUUUAAUUCGAUGAUACGCGAGGAACCUUACCAAGGCUUAAAUGGGAAAUGACAGGCUUAGAAAUAGGCUUUUCUUCGGACAUUUUUCAAGGUGCUGCAUGGUUGUCGUCAGCUCGUGCCGUGAGGUGUUAGGUUAAGUCCUGCAACGAGCGCAACCCCUGUCACUAGUUGCCAUCAUUAAGUUGGGGACUCUAGUGAGACUGCCUACGCAAGUAGAGAGGAAGGUGGGGAUGACGUCAAAUCAUCACGGCCCUUACGCCUUGGGCCACACACGUAAUACAAUGGCCGGUACAGAGGGCAGCUACACAGUGAUGUGAUGCAAAUCUCGAAAGCCGGUCUCAGUUCGGAUUGGAGUCUGCAACUCGACUCUAUGAAGCUGGAAUCGCUAGUAAUCGCGCAUCAGCCAUGGCGCGGUGAAUACGUUCCCGGGCCUUGUACACACCGCCCGUCAAGCCAUGGAAGUCUGGGGUACCUGAAGUCGGUGACCGUAACCAGGAGGUG